CUUCACAGAAAUGGCAUCGUAUAGCAACGAGGACUCAACUGAACGAUUCCUUUCUUCAGUUAUCUUCGCUCUCUCUCUAACUUGACCACGCUACGAAAUUUCUCCUUCCAGUCUACAGUUCUCUCCGUUCUUGUGUUCAUCGACAAUGGCGCUGAAGAAAGGAUCGGUGUCUGGUUUUGCUAAGCACGAGGAUGAAGGAGGUAAUGGUGGUAUCGGAGGAUAUAGGUUAGUUUUGGCUGUUCUCGUCGCUCUCUCUGUUCUUGCGUCCUUGCCUUUUGUCGUCGUCAGCGACUUCCACACUAUUGGUGAAGGGGUUAUUUCAAGUAGUCCAAGCAAAGGGGUAAUUGAUGAUAUUCCAGUCAAAACAAACAAUACUGCAACUAUUGGUGUUAAUUCUUCGGUGAACAAUAAUUUUACCUUAUCUUUGAGUUUGGUUGGGGAUUCCUCAGUUGAUGCGAUUUCCAUGCUAAGCCAAACGACUGUAGUUUCGAGAGGAACCCUCCAGGUCGAAGAGGACACUUCUUUGGGUGCAGCCAGAAGGAUAGCAAGAGAAGAACGACACGAAAAUCAAUUGCUGGAGUUGGACUUGGAUCCGCCGAAUGAAGAUACCAUUGUAAAACUUGAGAAUGCAAAUAUGCAGGCCUCUGAACUAGUUGACUCCUCGAUCAUUGGAAAAUACAGUAAAUGGAAGAAAGAAAACCAGAACAAGAAUCAAGAUUCUACUAUACGUCUAAUGCGAGACCAGAUUAUUAUGGCAAGAAUAUAUUUGAGCAUUUCGGAAAAGAAAAGGAAACAUGAUUUGGUUCAAGAGCUCCAAAUUUGUCUUAAAAGGAGUCGUGGUGUACUAGGAGAGGCAAAUAUUGAUGCUGAGUUGCAUUACAGUGCGCCCAAGAAAAUAAAAGCUAUGGCUGAUGUUCUUUCAAAGGCGAGAGAUCAACUGUUUGAUUGCAAGUUGGUGACCAGGAAGCUGAGAGCAAUGCUUCUAACCGAAGAAGAAAAGGUUAGAAGGUUGAAAAGGCAAAAUACAUUUCUCAUUCAAUUGGGAGUUAAGGGUAUUCCAGGCGGUAUUCGCUGCCUGUCCUUGCGCCUCACCAUCGAUUACUACCUUCUUCCUCCGGAGAGGAGAAAUUUCCCUAGAAGUGAAAAUUUGGAAGAUCCAAGAUUUCACCAUUAUGCUCUCUCCACUGACAACGUCUUGGCUGCCGCAGUAGUUGUGAACUCAACCGUAAUGAAUGCUAAGGAUUCUUCAAAACAUGUAUUCCACCUGGUAACUGAUAGUCUCAAUUUUGGAGCAUUGAAAAUGUGGUUUCUCUUAAAUCCUCCUGAAGAGGCUACGAUCCACGUUGAAAAUUUAGAUGAACUCAAGUGGCUGAACUCAUCCUAUUGCCCAGUACUCCGCCAGCUUAAUUCUGCAGCAAUGAGAGAGUAUUAUUUCAAGGCUGGACAUUCUACCACUCGGUCAUCUAGUGCUUCUAAUUUGAAGUACAGGAACCCAAAAUAUCUCUCAAUGCUAAAUCAUCUGAGGUUCUAUCUACCUCAAAUUUUUCCCGAGUUAGAUAAAAUUCUAUUUCUGGACGAUGACAUUGUUGUCCAGAAAGAUUUGACUGGAUUGUGGCUUGUAGAUCUUGAGGGAAAAGUCAAUGGUGCCGUGGAAACCUGUGUUGAGAAUUUUCAUCGUUUUGACAAGUACCUUAACUUCUCAAACUCUUUUAUCGCUAGAGAAUUCGACCCAAAUGCAUGCGGUUGGGCAUAUGGAAUGAAUAUAUUUGAUCUCAAGGAGUGGAAAAAGAGAAAUCUCACUGGCGUAUAUCAUACAUGGCAGAACUUGAAUGAAGAUAGGCUGCUUUGGAAGCUGGGUACCUUGCCACCAGGUUUGAUGACAUUUUAUGGGCUGACAUAUUCCCUCAAUAAGUCUUGGCAUGUGCUUGGAUUGGGUUACAAUCCAAGUAUCAACCCAUCAGAGAUAGAAAAUGCAGCUGUUAUUCACUAUAAUGGCAACAUGAAACCUUGGAUGGAGAUGGCAAUGACGAAGUAUCGCCCCUACUGGACAAAAUAUAUUGACUACGACAAUCCUUAUCUUCGCCAGUGCAACUUCGUUAAAUGAAACUUACUGUGGAUAACUGCAGCUACAGUCAUCAUCGACAAUGGCGUUGAAGAAAGGAUCGACAUCUGGUUUGGCCAAGCACGGGACGAAGUAGAAAAAUGGCGAUGCAGGAGAAAUGGCUUCCCCACAACUGUCCAAGGAAACAGAUACCGACCAAGGAGAAGAGGACAGAGGAUAAAGCAUCGCCCCUACUCCUAGUGGAAAAAGUAUCUCUCUCCACGAUGAACAGAGGAUUGCAGCUUUCAGAUUCUAACUCGAAAGCAGAGGAAGAAGAAAUAUCAUCCAAUUGCUGGCACUGUCUUUCACCAGCUCCUCAAUUUCCACCGAUUGCA
RNA transcript from Cucurbita maxima (winter squash), 2436 nucleotides. It is a transcript of the gene named polygalacturonate 4-alpha-galacturonosyltransferase-like, with no coding region annotated. The record is from RefSeq and is a predicted model, not a curated record. NCBI's taxonomy places the organism in Eukaryota, Viridiplantae, Streptophyta, Magnoliopsida, Cucurbitales, Cucurbitaceae. The transcript has 12 exons.